GACGAACGCUGGCGGCGUGCCUAAUACAUGCAAGUAGAACGCUGAAGGAGGAGCUUGCUCUUCUGGAUGAGUUGCGAACGGGUGAGUAACGCGUAGGUAACCUGCCUGGUAGCGGGGGAUAACUAUUGGAAACGAUAGCUAAUACCGCAUAAAAUUGAUUAUUGCAUGAUAGUCAAUUAAAAGGUGCAAUUGCAUCACUACCAGAUGGACCUGCGUUGUAUUAGCUAGUUGGUGAGGUAACGGCUCACCAAGGCAACGAUACAUAGCCGACCUGAGAGGGUGAUCGGCCACACUGGGACUGAGACACGGCCCAGACUCCUACGGGAGGCAGCAGUAGGGAAUCUUCGGCAAUGGACGGAAGUCUGACCGAGCAACGCCGCGUGAGUGAAGAAGGGUGUCGGAUCGUAAAGCUCUGUUGUAAGAGAAGAACGAGUGUGAGAGUGGAAAGUUCACACUGUGACGGUAUCUUACCAGAAAGGGACGGCUAACUACGUG
RNAcentral lists this ribosomal RNA (495 nucleotides) under uncultured bacterium. RNAcentral's name for it is "partial 16S ribosomal RNA". It matches the Rfam family "Bacterial small subunit ribosomal RNA", at positions 28 to 507 of the family's 1533-position model. The record is from RNAcentral.